RNAcentral lists this ribosomal RNA (483 nucleotides) under uncultured bacterium. Its description in RNAcentral is "partial 16S ribosomal RNA". It matches the Rfam family "Bacterial small subunit ribosomal RNA", at positions 30 to 507 of the family's 1533-position model. The record is from RNAcentral.
UUGAACGCUGGCGGCAGGCCUAACACCUGCAAGUCGAGCGGAUGAAGGGAGCUUGCUCCUGGAUUCAGCGGCGGACGGGUGAGUAAUGCCUAGGAAUCUGCCUGGUAGUGGGGGAUAACGUCCGGAAACGGGCGCUAAUACCGCAUACGUCCUGAGGGAGAAAGUGGGGGAUCUUCGGACCUCACGCUAUCAGAUGAGCCUAGGUCGGAUUAGCUAGUUGGUGGGGUAAAGGCCUACCAAGGCGACGAUCCGUAACUGGUCUGAGAGGAUGAUCAGUCACACUGGAACUGAGACACGGUCCAGACUCCUACGGGAGGCAGCAGUGGGGAAUAUUGGACAAUGGGCGAAAGCCUGAUCCAGCCAUGCCGCGUGUGUGAAGAAGGUCUUCGGAUUGUAAAGCACUUUAAGUUGGGAGGAAGGGCAGUAAGUUAAUACCUUGCUGUUUUGACGUUACCAACAGAAUAAGCACCGGCUAACUUCGUG